RNAcentral lists this long non-coding RNA (405 nucleotides) under Salvia miltiorrhiza (redroot sage). RNAcentral's name for it is "long non-coding RNA (SMIL_LNC002547)". Lineage: Eukaryota; Viridiplantae; Streptophyta; Magnoliopsida; Lamiales; Lamiaceae. The record is from RNAcentral.
AAACUGCUCUCAAACUCGCAAGACUGCCCUCUGCCAGCCACACAUAUAUAGCGAUUCGGUAAACCCUAGCCGGCAGACCAAAUCUGGCAGAUUAUUUCCUUCCAUAUUUAGCUUGAUCCUUGAUUUGAUUUGAUAGAUAAUGGAUCUCCAGCGGAUUUGGGGUUGAUUCCACAUUAUUCCAGAUCCUUCCAUUGCUAGAAUUCGCCAGAAUCUUCCGGGCAAUCUCCUCCACACGUCUUUCCAUAUAUAGCUCUAGCUGCUGACUGCUAUUGACGGGAAUGGUCAUACUAGCUUCUUUCUUCGGUUGGCCUCAUACCAGGUGGUACACUUCGAACGUUCCCGCGCCUCGAAUGGCACUGAGGGGUACUUCGUCGAGCUCUCUUCCUGGUUCAUAUAUAGCUCAUC